AUUGAACGCUGGCGGCAUGCUUUACACAUGCAAGUCGAACGGCAGCGCGGGCUUCGGCCUGGCGGCGAGUGGCGAACGGGUGAGUAAUGCAUCGGAACGUGCCCAGCAGUGGGGGAUAGCCACGCGAAAGCCGGGGUACUACCGCAUACGACCUGAUGGUGCAACCGGGGGACCGAAAGGCCUCGCGCUCUUGUGGCGGCCGACGUCGGAUUUGCUAGUUGGUGGGGUAAAGGCUUACCAAGGCGACGAUCCGUAGCUGGUCUGAGAGGACGACCAGCCACACUGGGACUGAGACACGGCCCAGAGUCCUACGGGAGGCAGCAGUGGGGAAUGUUGGACAAUGGGGGCAACCCUGAUCCAGCCAGGCCGCGUGCGGGAAGAAGGCCUUCGGGUUGUAAACCGCUUUUGUUCGGGAAGAAAUCCUUUGGGCUAAUACCCCGGGGGGAUGACGGUACCGGAAGAAUAAGCACCGGCUAACUACGUG
Molecule: ribosomal RNA, 484 nt
Filed under: uncultured bacterium
Lineage: Bacteria
Description: partial 16S ribosomal RNA
Rfam family: Bacterial small subunit ribosomal RNA
Source: RNAcentral